GAUGUGAAGCGAAACCCAAAAAGACAGUCACAGUUCGGAUUGAAGACUGAAAUUCGCCUUCAUGAAGCCGAAAUUGCUAGUAAUGGCAGGUCAGCAUACUGCCGUGAAUACGUUCCCGGGCCUUGUACACACCGCCCGUCACACCAUGAGAGUUGGGGAUACCCGAAGCCUGUGAGCCAACUGUAAAGAGGCAGCAGUCGAAGGUAGAAUCAAUGAUUGGGGUGAAGUCGUAACAAGGUAGC
This 242-nucleotide ribosomal RNA is filed under the name uncultured bacterium. Its description in RNAcentral is "partial 16S ribosomal RNA". It matches the Rfam family "Bacterial small subunit ribosomal RNA", at positions 1259 to 1500 of the family's 1533-position model. The record is from RNAcentral.